Long non-coding RNA from Octodon degus (degu), 212 nucleotides. RefSeq lists it as uncharacterized. The transcript is spliced from 3 exons. The record is from RefSeq and is a predicted model, not a curated record. Lineage: Eukaryota; Metazoa; Chordata; Mammalia; Rodentia; Octodontidae.
AUUAUGUGUCCUGGGGAAGGCCUAGGAAGUGAAGCGGGUUGGGAGUUCCUGCUGGGAGCUAUGAGUCAGGGAGAUUUGUGAAGAUGUGGAGCCUCCCUGUUUCCAUUUUUGGAGUAGAAAUGCUAACCCACUACAUUUUGGAAGUACCACUUGAUUUUAUGAAUUUUACAGGUAAGAUUUUGCCUUGAGUCUUAGAGGAGACUGUGGAUUUG